Molecule: ribosomal RNA, 527 nt
Filed under: uncultured bacterium
Lineage: Bacteria
Description: bacterial SSU rRNA
Rfam family: Bacterial small subunit ribosomal RNA
Source: RNAcentral
UGGGGAAUCUUGCACAAUGGGCGAAAGCCUGAUGCAGCGACGCCGCGUGCGGGAUGAAGGCCUUCGGGUUGUAAACCGCUUUCAGCAGGGACGAGGCGAAAGUGACGGUACCUGCAGAAGAAGCCCCGGCUAACUACGUGCCAGCAGCCGCGGUAAUACGUAGGGGGCAAGCGUUAUCCGGAUUCAUUGGGCGUAAAGCGCUCGUAGGCGGUCUGUUAGGUCGGGAGUUAAAUCCGGGGGCUCAACCCCCGCUCGCUCCCGAUACCGGCAGACUUGAGUUUGGUAGGGGAAGGUGGAACUCCUAGUGUAGCGGUGGAAUGCGCAGAUAUUAGGAAGAACACCAGUGGCGAAGGCGGCCUUCUGGGCCAUAACUGACGCUGAGGAGCGAAAGCUAGGGGAGCAAACAGGAUUAGAUACCCUGGUAGUCCUAGCCGUAAACGAUGGACACUAGGUGUGGGGGAAUAUUUCUUCCGUGCCGCAGCUAACGCAUUAAGUGUCCUGCCUGGGGAGUACGGCCAACAAGGCUA